GGCGAGGUAGCUCAGAUGGUUAGAGCGCAGGAUUCAUAACCCUGAGGUCGGGAGUUCAAUUCUCCCUCUCGCUA
This 74-nucleotide transfer RNA is filed under the name Cryomorphaceae bacterium BACL7 MAG-120910-bin2. Its description in RNAcentral is "tRNA-Met". It matches the Rfam family "tRNA". Rfam says of the family: Transfer RNA (tRNA) molecules are approximately 80 nucleotides in length. Their secondary structure includes four short double-helical elements and three loops (D, anti-codon, and T loops). The record is from RNAcentral. RNAcentral also lists the same sequence under 10 other names. Lineage: Bacteria; Pseudomonadati; Bacteroidota; Flavobacteriia; Flavobacteriales; Cryomorphaceae.